AUGAACGCUAGCGGCAGGCUUAAUACAUGCAAGUUGAGGGGCAGCAUGAUAUACGCGAGUAUAUUGAUGGCGACCGGGCGGACGGGUGAGUAAUAGGUAGGAGACCUACCUCAUACAGGGGGAUAGCAUAGAGAAAUCUGUGGUAAUACCCCAUGAGGUUAUAUGAAUAGAGGCAUAUAAUCAAAGCAUAAGUGAUUAUGCGGUAUGAGAGGGGCCUACUGACCAUUAGCUAGUUGGUGAGGUAAGGGCUCACCAAGGCGAAGAUGGUUAGGGGUUUUGAGAGAGAGACCCCCCACAUUGGAACUGAGAGACGGUCCAGACUCCUACGGGAGGCAGCAGUAGGGAAUAUUGGGCAAUGGGCGAAAGCCUGACCCAGCCAUGCCGCGUGAAGGAAGACGGCCUUAUGGGUUGUAAACUUCUUUACUACGCGAAUAGAGGUUAGUACGAGAUACUAAUAGGAAGGUAGUGUAGUAAAAAGCACCGGCUAACUCCGUG
RNAcentral lists this ribosomal RNA (495 nucleotides) under uncultured bacterium. Its description in RNAcentral is "bacterial SSU rRNA". It matches the Rfam family "Bacterial small subunit ribosomal RNA", at positions 30 to 507 of the family's 1533-position model. The record is from RNAcentral.